RNAcentral lists this ribosomal RNA (495 nucleotides) under uncultured bacterium. RNAcentral's name for it is "bacterial SSU rRNA". It matches the Rfam family "Bacterial small subunit ribosomal RNA", at positions 24 to 518 of the family's 1533-position model. The record is from RNAcentral.
UCAGGAUGAACGCUGGCGGCGUGCUUAACACAUGCAAGUCGAGCGAGAAGCUCGUGAACGAUCUCGGAUGAGUGAUCGAGUGGAAAGCGGCGGACGGGUGAGUAACGCGUAGGCAACCUGCCCCAUACAAAGGGAUAGCUACUGGAAACGGUAAUUAAUACCUCAUAACACGGAGAGACCGCAUGAUCUUUCCGUCAAAGAUUUAUCGGUAUGGGAUGGGCCUGCGUCUGGAUUAGCUGGUUGGUGGGGUAACGGCCCACCAAGGCGACGAUCAGUAGCCGACCUGAGAGGGUAAACGGCCACAUUGGAACUGAGACACGGUCCAAACUCCUACGGGAGGCAGCAGUGGGGAAUAUUGCACAAUGGGGGGAACCCUGAUGCAGCAACGCCGCGUGAGCGAAGAAGGCCUUUGGGUCGUAAAGCUCUGUCCUGAAGGAAGAAGGAAGUGACGGUACUUCAGGAGGAAGCCCCGGCUAACUACGUGCCAGCCGCCGC